This is a non-coding RNA of Pantoea sp. PSNIH1, 129 nucleotides long. Lineage: Bacteria; Pseudomonadati; Pseudomonadota; Gammaproteobacteria; Enterobacterales; Erwiniaceae. The record is from Rfam.
CUUUAACAAUCCGGAACAAGCUGAAAAUUUGAAACGACCGCGUCGUAUUCGUUCUCCGUAAUAAGAACGAUGCGCGAUGCGGCCGGGUCUCAAGAUUAUCGCGAUUCACAGCGUUCAAAACGCCUGUGG